UGGGGAAUUUUGGACAAUGGGCGAAAGCCUGAUCCAGCAAUGCCGCGUGUGUGAAGAAGGCCUUCGGGUUGUAAAGCACUUUUGUCCGGAAAGAAAUCCUUGGCUCUAAUACAGUCGGGGGAUGACGGUACCGGAAGAAUAAGCACCGGCUAACUACGUGCCAGCAGCCGCGGUAAUACGUAGGGUGCAAGCGUUAAUCGGAAUUACUGGGCGUAAAGCGUGCGCAGGCGGUUUGCUAAGACCGAUGUGAAAUCCCCGGGCUCAACCUGGGAACUGCAUUGGUGACUGGCAGGCUAGAGUAUGGCAGAGGGGGGUAGAAUUCCACGUGUAGCAGUGAAAUGCGUAGAGAUGUGGAGGAAUACCGAUGGCGAAGGCAGCCCCCUGGGCCAAUACUGACGCUCAUGCACGAAAGGCGUGGGGAGCAAACAGGAUUAGAUACCCUGGUAGUCCACGCCCUAAACGAUGUCAACUAGUUGUUGGGGAUUCAUUUCCUUAGUAACGUAGCUAACGCGUGAAGUUGACCGCCUGGGGGAGUACGGUCGCAAGAUUAAAACUUAAAUGAAUUGAC
Molecule: ribosomal RNA, 568 nt
Filed under: uncultured bacterium
Lineage: Bacteria
Description: partial 16S ribosomal RNA
Rfam family: Bacterial small subunit ribosomal RNA
Source: RNAcentral